Molecule: long non-coding RNA, 431 nt
Organism: Suricata suricatta (meerkat)
Lineage: Eukaryota; Metazoa; Chordata; Mammalia; Carnivora; Herpestidae
Exons: 2
Source: RefSeq, a predicted model, not a curated record
GAAGGUGCCUUUACACGUACAGCAGAAAUGAAUUAAAAGGGGAAAAAUGACAAAGUUUGUUACCGCAUAUUCUAUCAAAUGCACUGUCCUGUGGAACUGAGGAUUCUGUAACCGGCUCACAGCGCCCUGGGCAACCCUCGAGCAAUGCUGAGUACGGGACCCAAGGCCAGGCACCCGGACGAGUUCCGGCCCUGGCGUUGGAGACGCGGGCUUGACCUCCAAGAAACCACAGCUGGCUGGCUACAGAACACACCGACCAAAUGCUAGUUAGGACAGCCAACUGGAGUCUACUUAGGAGGUGGAUCUUCAUGAUGUAUCUUGGUGAAAACCCUUAGAAAACACCGUUAAAAAAUAGGAAGUGACCUAGGUACACAAAAUAAGAACUAAAGCUAUGUGUAUGUAACAAUGCUGACUGUGGUUAUCCUUCGGUA